RNAcentral lists this ribosomal RNA (468 nucleotides) under uncultured bacterium. Its description in RNAcentral is "partial 16S ribosomal RNA". It matches the Rfam family "Bacterial small subunit ribosomal RNA", at positions 28 to 507 of the family's 1533-position model. The record is from RNAcentral.
GACGAACGCUGGCGGCGUGCUUAACACAUGCAAGUCGAACGGAAAGGCCCUGCUUUUGUGGGGUGCUCGAGUUGCGAACGGGUGAGUAACACGUGAGUAACCUGUCCUUGACUUUGGGAUAACUUCAGGAAACUGGGUCUAAUACCGGAUAGGAGCUCCUGCUGCAUGGUGGGGGUUGGAAAGUUUCGGCGGUUGGGGAUGGACUCGCGGCUUAUCAGCUUGUUGGUGGGGUAGUGGCUUACCAAGGCUUUGACGGGUAGCCGGCCUGAGAGGGUGACCGGCCACAUUGGGACUGAGAUACGGCCCAGACUCCUCCGGGAGGCAGCAGUGGGGAAUAUUGCACAAUGGGCGGAAGCCUGAUGCAGCAACGCCGCGUGCGGGAUGACGGCAUUCGGGUUGUAAACCGCUUUCGCCUGUGACGAAGCGUGAGUGACGGUAAUGGGUAAAGAAGCACCGGCUAACUACGUG